GAAUUUGGCGACGAUCUUUUAAGCAAUUGUGGGAAUUGCUUUGGGCGGUUGUGGAGGGUUGAUGGAUGGCUGUGGAAGGGCAGUGAGAUGCCAAGAAUGUUGCUCUGAUACCAGGUGCUAGAACCCUUGCAGAUUCUAAACUUGGGGUUGAUCUCUUUAGGGGAUCGGCCUCCUUGGAACUCUAUAGGGGUUCCUCCCUCCAAG
This 204-nucleotide long non-coding RNA is filed under the name Musa acuminata (dwarf banana). RNAcentral's name for it is "long non-coding RNA (MACU_LNC008714)". The record is from RNAcentral. Lineage: Eukaryota; Viridiplantae; Streptophyta; Magnoliopsida; Zingiberales; Musaceae.